GUCAGGAUGGCCGAGUGGUCUAAGGCGGCAGACUAAGCAUCUGUUCCUCGCUAAAGAGGGCGUGGGUUCAAAUCCCACUCCUGACA
Molecule: transfer RNA, 86 nt
Filed under: Turnera subulata
Lineage: Eukaryota; Viridiplantae; Streptophyta; Magnoliopsida; Malpighiales; Passifloraceae
Rfam family: tRNA
About the family: Transfer RNA (tRNA) molecules are approximately 80 nucleotides in length. Their secondary structure includes four short double-helical elements and three loops (D, anti-codon, and T loops).
Source: Rfam by way of RNAcentral